RNAcentral lists this ribosomal RNA (461 nucleotides) under uncultured bacterium. Its description in RNAcentral is "partial 16S ribosomal RNA". It matches the Rfam family "Bacterial small subunit ribosomal RNA", at positions 28 to 523 of the family's 1533-position model. The record is from RNAcentral.
GAUGAACGCUGGCGGCGUGCCUAAUACAUGCAAGUCGAGCGGUAAGGCUCCUUCGGGAGUACACGAGCGGCGGACGGGUGAGUAAUACGUAGGAACGUACCCCAGAGUGAGGAAUAACCAGCCGAAAGGUUGGCUAAUACCGCAUAUGCUCUACGGAGUAAAGCAGCAAUGCGCUUUGGGAACGGCCUGCGUCCGAUUAGCUAGUUGGUAAGGUAAAGGCUUACCAAGGCGACGAUCGGUAGCUGUUCUGAGAGGAUGAUCAGCCACACUGGAACUGAGACACGGUCCAGACUCCUACGGGAGGCAGCAGUAGGGAAUUUUCCACAAUGGGCGAAAGCUUGAUGGAGCAACGCCGCGUGCAGGAUGAAGGCCUUAGGGUUGUAAACUGCUUUUAUCUGUGACGAUUAUGACAGUAGCAGAUGAAUAAGGAUCGGCUAACUCCGUGCCAGCCGCCGCAGUAA